GGUACACGCUGUGACUAGCAUAUCAAUAAGCGGAGGAAAAGAAACUAACAAGGAUUCCCCUAGUAACGGCGAGUGAAGCGGGAAGAGCUCAAAUUUGAAAUCUUAAAGGGUUUCCCUUUACGAAUUGUAGUUUAAAGAAGUGUUUUCUGUUGAGGUUUUGGUAAAAGUUCUUUGGAAUAGGACAUCAUAGAGGGUGAGAAUCCCGUAUUUGACCUUUACUUUCAACUUUGUGAUACACUUUCAAAGAGUCGGAUUGUUUGGGAAUGCAGUCCAAAAUGGGUGGUAAAUUUCAUCUAAAGCUAAAUAUUGGCGAGAGACCGAUAGCGAACAAGUACCGUGAGGGAAAGAUGAAAAGAACUUUGAAAAGAGAGUUAAACAGUACGUGAAAUUGUCAAAAAGGGAAGCGUUUGACACCAGUGUUGUUUUUCUGAAAAUCAAUUAAAGAACUGUUUAUGCUAAGCUGUUUAGACUUUAUCAGCUAACUGUUUAGUUUUGAGCUUUUCUUUAAUGCACUUUUCAGUUAACAAGUCAACAUCAAUUUCUUUUGCUGUAAAAAAGCUUGAGGAAGGUGGCUUGAGAUUCGUCUUAAGUGUUUAUAGCCUCUUGCCUAUGCAGUCGGAGAGAUUGAGGUCUGCAGCGUAGAUCCUUCGGGGCUAAAUGCAUUUGUGCUAAGUUAUAGCAUUUUAUAGACAACUUGUUGACUAUGAUUUGUCUUGUAGCUUACUCGCUUAUGUUAUUUUACCUACGCUUAGGAUGUUGAGUCGUAGAGCACGCAG
RNAcentral lists this ribosomal RNA (776 nucleotides) under uncultured Neocallimastigales. Its description in RNAcentral is "partial large subunit ribosomal RNA". It matches the Rfam family "Eukaryotic large subunit ribosomal RNA", at positions 22 to 628 of the family's 3401-position model. Lineage: Eukaryota; Fungi; Neocallimastigomycota; Neocallimastigomycetes; Neocallimastigales. The record is from RNAcentral.